This 1211-nucleotide long non-coding RNA is filed under the name Canis lupus dingo (dingo). RNAcentral's name for it is "lncRNA (ENSCAFG00020024129.1)". Lineage: Eukaryota; Metazoa; Chordata; Mammalia; Carnivora; Canidae. The record is from RNAcentral.
AUGAGAUUUUUUUUUUUUAGAUUUUAUUUAUUCAUGAGAGAGAGAGAGAGAGAGAGAGGCAGAGACAGAGGCAGAGGGAGAAGCAAGCAGGCUCCAUGCCGGGAGCCCGACGUGGGACUUGAUCCUGGGACUCCAGGAUCGCGCCCUGGGCCAAAGGCAGGUGCUAAACCGCUGAGCCACCCAGGGAUCCCGAUAUGUGCAUUUUUAAAUUUCUGCAGCGACUGCCCAGUGCCCGUCCAGAGGGCCUGGGUGGGGGAGCCUGUUUCCAUGCCCUCGCCCGCCCCAGCAAGGACACAAUGUGUCAGGGGAAGCAAGUCCCAGACGAGUUGCAGAUAAACCUGCCAGUAAUUUUCGCGAAUGAGCCGUGGAACACAUAAAGGCCAGAGGAUGGAAAACGCUCCGGGUUUGAUAAAAGGAGUUCUUGGCUCGGAAUCCUCCCUCCUGCUAGCCCCGCCGAGAUCCACCCGGAGAGGGCCUGAUGGAUUGAGGAAAACGAAAUGAGACCAACGUGAGUCUCCUUUCAAGGGCUGUGCUAAUAUAAAACCAAACGACUUGAACUUGUUCCAAGAGGGGAUUAAAGCAACAUGUUAUUUUGAGUGAUUGCUUAAUUUAUUGAGCUGCGGCUAGAUCUGUAACAAAAUACAGCCCUUGCAACUGAUAACCUCCUGCUGCAUUUGAACUUCUUACAAUUAAGGAAUAUUUUCCAAGAGUUUCUCUGGAACGGCUUCGCAUUUUUAAUCUCUGUGGUGGGGUGCUUCUGAGCACUCAAUUUCUGGGCAAGUUUUUGGGUUUCUUUUCUUUCUUCUUCUUCUUCUUUUUUUUUUUUUCCCCCAAGAGUGACAGGCUGAUGUUAAUAGGAAAAGGAAGGAGCAUUUUAUUGACUGUCUUGUGUGUGCCAUGCGCUUGAUAUACAUUAUCUCUAAUCCUGACAAUAACCCAAUGAAGAGAGUCUUAUUAGUACCUGUUUUACGGAUGUGAAGCUCAUAGAUGUGAAGCCAUUUUCCAGAGUGGCGCUGUCCAAGACCGUAGCUGCUAGUCAUGUGUGGCUACUUUUGUGUAAAUUAGUUAAGAGUUAAGAAAUCUGAAAAUUAAAAAAAAAAAAAAAGAAAUCUGAAAAUUCACUGCCUGGGUUGCACCAGCAACUAGUUCAGUGGGGCUGUGGCUACCUAUUGGACACCAUUGACGUAGACCAUUUCGAUUAGUGCAGAAAG